Molecule: ribosomal RNA, 2933 nt
Filed under: Escherichia coli
Lineage: Bacteria; Pseudomonadati; Pseudomonadota; Gammaproteobacteria; Enterobacterales; Enterobacteriaceae
Description: 23S ribosomal RNA
Rfam family: Bacterial large subunit ribosomal RNA
Source: RNAcentral
GGGUUGUGAGGUUAAGCGACUAAGCGUACACGGUGGAUGCCCUGGCAGUCAGAGGCGAUGAAGGACGUGCUAAUCUGCGAUAAGCGUCGGUAAGGUGAUAUGAACCGUUAUAACCGGCGAUUUCCGAAUGGGGAAACCCAGUGUGAUUCGUCACACUAUCAUUAACUGAAUCCAUAGGUUAAUGAGGCGAACCGGGGGAACUGAAACAUCUAAGUACCCCGAGGAAAAGAAAUCAACCGAGAUUCCCCCAGUAGCGGCGAGCGAACGGGGAGGAGCCCAGAGCCUGAAUCAGUGUGUGUGUUAGUGGAAGCGUCUGGAAAGGCGCGCGAUACAGGGUGACAGCCCCGUACACAAAAAUGCACAUGCUGUGAGCUCGAUGAGUAGGGCGGGACACGUGGUAUCCUGUCUGAAUAUGGGGGGACCAUCCUCCAAGGCUAAAUACUCCUGACUGACCGAUAGUGAACCAGUACCGUGAGGGAAAGGCGAAAAGAACCCCGGCGAGGGGAGUGAAAAAGAACCUGAAACCGUGUACGUACAAGCAGUGGGAGCACAGAGCAAUCUGUGUGACUGCGUACCUUUUGUAUAAUGGGUCAGCGACUUAUAUUCUGUAGCAAGGUUAACCGAAUAGGGGAGCCGAAGGGAAACCGAGUCUUAACUGGGCGUUAAGUUGCAGGGUAUAGACCCGAAACCCGGUGAUCUAGCCAUGGGCAGGUUGAAGGUUGGGUAACACUAACUGGAGGACCGAACCGACUAAUGUUGAAAAAUUAGCGGAUGACUUGUGGCUGGGGGUGAAAGGCCAAUCAAACCGGGAGAUAGCUGGUUCUCCCCGAAAGCUAUUUAGGUAGCGCCUCGUGAAUUCAUCUCCGGGGGUAGAGCACUGUUUCGGCAAGGGGGUCAUCCCGACUUACCAACCCGAUGCAAACUGCGAAUACCGGAGAAUGUUAUCACGGGAGACACACGGCGGGUGCUAACGUCCGUCGUGAAGAGGGAAACAACCCAGACCGCCAGCUAAGGUCCCAAAGUCAUGGUUAAGUGGGAAACGAUGUGGGAAGGCCCAGACAGCCAGGAUGUUGGCUUAGAAGCAGCCAUCAUUUAAAGAAAGCGUAAUAGCUCACUGGUCGAGUCGGCCUGCGCGGAAGAUGUAACGGGGCUAAACCAUGCACCGAAGCUGCGGCAGCGACGCUUAUGCGUUGUUGGGUAGGGGAGCGUUCUGUAAGCCUGUGAAGGUGUGCUGUGAGGCAUGCUGGAGGUAUCAGAAGUGCGAAUGCUGACAUAAGUAACGAUAAAGCGGGUGAAAAGCCCGCUCGCCGGAAGACCAAGGGUUCCUGUCCAACGUUAAUCGGGGCAGGGUGAGUCGACCCCUAAGGCGAGGCCGAAAGGCGUAGUCGAUGGGAAACAGGUUAAUAUUCCUGUACUUGGUGUUACUGCGAAGGGGGGACGGAGAAGGCUAUGUUGGCCGGGCGACGGUUGUCCCGGUUUAAGCGUGUAGGCUGGUUUUCCAGGCAAAUCCGGAAAAUCAAGGCUGAGGCGUGAUGACGAGGCACUACGGUGCUGAAGCAACAAAUGCCCUGCUUCCAGGAAAAGCCUCUAAGCAUCAGGUAACAUCAAAUCGUACCCCAAACCGACACAGGUGGUCAGGUAGAGAAUACCAAGGCGCUUGAGAGAACUCGGGUGAAGGAACUAGGCAAAAUGGUGCCGUAACUUCGGGAGAAGGCACGCUGAUAUGUAGGUGAAGUCCCUCGCGGAUGGAGCUGAAAUCAGUCGAAGAUACCAGCUGGCUGCAACUGUUUAUUAAAAACACAGCACUGUGCAAACACGAAAGUGGACGUAUACGGUGUGACGCCUGCCCGGUGCCGGAAGGUUAAUUGAUGGGGUUAGCGCAAGCGAAGCUCUUGAUCGAAGCCCCGGUAAACGGCGGCCGUAACUAUAACGGUCCUAAGGUAGCGAAAUUCCUUGUCGGGUAAGUUCCGACCUGCACGAAUGGCGUAAUGAUGGCCAGGCUGUCUCCACCCGAGACUCAGUGAAAUUGAACUCGCUGUGAAGAUGCAGUGUACCCGCGGCAAGACGGAAAGACCCCGUGAACCUUUACUAUAGCUUGACACUGAACAUUGAGCCUUGAUGUGUAGGAUAGGUGGGAGGCUUUGAAGUGUGGACGCCAGUCUGCAUGGAGCCGACCUUGAAAUACCACCCUUUAAUGUUUGAUGUUCUAACGUUGACCCGUAAUCCGGGUUGCGGACAGUGUCUGGUGGGUAGUUUGACUGGGGCGGUCUCCUCCUAAAGAGUAACGGAGGAGCACGAAGGUUGGCUAAUCCUGGUCGGACAUCAGGAGGUUAGUGCAAUGGCAUAAGCCAGCUUGACUGCGAGCGUGACGGCGCGAGCAGGUGCGAAAGCAGGUCAUAGUGAUCCGGUGGUUCUGAAUGGAAGGGCCAUCGCUCAACGGAUAAAAGGUACUCCGGGGAUAACAGGCUGAUACCGCCCAAGAGUUCAUAUCGACGGCGGUGUUUGGCACCUCGAUGUCGGCUCAUCACAUCCUGGGGCUGAAGUAGGUCCCAAGGGUAUGGCUGUUCGCCAUUUAAAGUGGUACGCGAGCUGGGUUUAGAACGUCGUGAGACAGUUCGGUCCCUAUCUGCCGUGGGCGCUGGAGAAUUGAGGGGGGCUGCUCCUAGUACGAGAGGACCGGAGUGGACGCAUCACUGGUGUUCGGGUUGUCAUGCCAAUGGCACUGCCCGGUAGCUAAAUGCGGAAGAGAUAAGUGCUGAAAGCAUCUAAGCACGAAACUUGCCCCGAGAUGAGUUCUCCCUGACUCCUUGAGAGUCCUGAAGGAACGUUGAAGACGACGACGUUGAUAGGCCGGGUGUGUAAGCGCAGCGAUGCGUUGAGCUAACCGGUACUAAUGAACCGUGAGGCUUAACCUUACAACGCCGAAGGUGUUU